Molecule: transfer RNA, 75 nt
Filed under: Caulobacter sp.
Lineage: Bacteria; Pseudomonadati; Pseudomonadota; Alphaproteobacteria; Caulobacterales; Caulobacteraceae
Also listed under: 202 other names
Description: tRNA-Thr
Rfam family: tRNA
About the family: Transfer RNA (tRNA) molecules are approximately 80 nucleotides in length. Their secondary structure includes four short double-helical elements and three loops (D, anti-codon, and T loops). Further hydrogen bonds mediate the characteristic L-shaped molecular structure. tRNAs have two regions of fundamental functional importance: the anti-codon, which is responsible for specific mRNA codon recognition, and the 3' end, to which the tRNAs corresponding amino acid is attached (by aminoacyl-tRNA synthetases). tRNAs cope with the degeneracy of the genetic code in two manners: having more than one tRNA (with a specific anti-codon) for a particular amino acid; and 'wobble' base-pairing, i.e. permitting non-standard base-pairing at the 3rd anti-codon position.
Source: RNAcentral
GCUGCUGUAGCUCAGUGGUAGAGCGCACCCUUGGUAAGGGUGAGGUCGGGAGUUCAAUCCUCCCCAGCAGCACCA